This 477-nucleotide ribosomal RNA is filed under the name uncultured bacterium. RNAcentral's name for it is "bacterial SSU rRNA". It matches the Rfam family "Bacterial small subunit ribosomal RNA", at positions 30 to 504 of the family's 1533-position model. The record is from RNAcentral.
UGAACGCUAGCGGCAGGCCUAACACAUGCAAGUCGAGGGGUAACGAUGUCUUCGGACAGUCGACGACCGGCGCACGGGUGAGUAUCGCGUUUGUAACCUACCUUUAACUGGAGAAUAGCCCGAAGAAAUUCGGAUUAAUACUCCAUAACACUAUGAACUGGCAUCUUUUUAUAGUUAAAGCUCCGGCGGUUAAAGAUGGGCAUGCGUAACAUUAGUUUGUUGGUGAGGUAACGGCUCACCAAGACUACGAUGUUUAGGGGGUCUGAGAGGAUGGUCCCCCACACUGGUACUGAGACACGGACCAGACUCCUACGGGAGGCAGCAGUGAGGAAUAUUGGUCAAUGGGCGCAAGCCUGAACCAGCCAUGCCGCGUGAAGGAUGACAGCGCUAUGCGUUGUAAACUUCUUUUGUACAGGAAGAAAUGCUUCUACGUGUAGAAGUUUGACGGUACUGUACGAAUAAGCACCGGCUAACUCC